AUUUAAAAUAUUAUUAAUUUUCUUAGAAGUGAUUUUUUAAAAAAAAAAUAUUUUUGUUUUAUUAAUUGGUUUGAAUAAAUUAAUAUUUAUAAUAAAGUAUUAGUACUGUGGAGGAAAUAAUUUAUAUACAAAAAAGAAUAAUUAAUUAUUUGUACCUUGUGUAUCAGGGUUUAUUAAUUAAAUAUUAAAAAUUUAAUUUUCUCGAAUUAAUAAGAGUUAUAUUUAUAUAUUUUUUUUGUUGAAUAAAAAUUAUUAAUAUAAAUAUAGAAGUGAAAUGCUAUUCGGUUAUUAAUAUAUCUAGUUUUUAAAGAAAAAAAUUUAAUUUUUUUAUUAAGAAUUAUAAUUUUAAAUUAUUAAUUUUAUACUUUUAAUAAAUAAUACUUUAAGGGAUUAGCUUUAAAGUAAAUUUUUUUAAAAUUAAAGAUUUUUCAUAGCUAAGUAGUAUUGUAAGUUUAAAUCUUUAGAAGUGUGUUGUAACUUUUUUAUAAAUAAAUAUGAUUUAUAUAUUAAUUUUGAAAUUUUUUAUUUAAAUAAAAAUUUUAAUAAAUAAAAUUUUAUAAUAAUGAUGAAAUUAGUAUAAAUUUGUGUAAGAAAUUUUUGUACAUAAAGGUUAAGUAAAGGAACUCGGCAAAUACAUUUUUCACCUGUUUAUUAAAAACAUGGCUUUUUGAGUAUAAUUUAAAGUCUGGCCUGCCCACUGAGUAUUUAAAUGGCCGCGGUAAUUUGACCGUGCAAAGGUAGCAUAAUCAUUAGUUUUUUAAUUGAAAGCUGGAAUGAAGGGUUGGAUGAGAAAAUAGCUGUCUCUAUUUAAUUUUUUUAGAAAUUUAUCUUUAAGUAAAAAAGCUUAAAUGAAAUUUGAAGACGAGAAGACCCUAUAGAGUUUUAUUUAUUUUUUUAUUGAGAUUUUUAGUAUUUAUUUAUUUUUAUAUGAAAAUGAAUUUAGUUGGGGCGAUUGAAAAAUUUAAUAAACUUUUUUUUUAUAUUUACAUUGAUUUAUGAAUAAAUGAUCCUUAGAUAAAGAUUAAAAGAUUAAAUUACCUUAGGGAUAACAGAGUAAUUUUUUUAGAGAGUUCAAAUCGAAAAAAAAGAUUGCGACCUCGAUGUUGGAUUAAAAUUUAAUUUUGGUGUAGAAGCUAGAAUAUUUAGGUCUGUUCGACCUUUAAAAUUUUACAUGAUCUGAGUUUAAACCGGUGUGAGCCAGGUUGGUUUCUAUCUCUAAUAAAUUAUAAUAUCUUAGUACGAAAGGACCAGAAAUUAGGUUAAUAAUUUGUUAAAAGAAUAAUAUUAAUU
Molecule: ribosomal RNA, 1290 nt
Filed under: Callirhopalus sedakowii
Lineage: Eukaryota; Metazoa; Arthropoda; Insecta; Coleoptera; Curculionidae
Description: 16S ribosomal RNA
Rfam family: Archaeal large subunit ribosomal RNA (bases 1045-1204)
Source: RNAcentral